AGAGUUUGCUUCUGGCUCAGGAUGAACGCUAGCGACAGGCUUAACACAUGCAAGUCGAGGGGCAGCACAGGUAGCAAUACCGGGUGGCGACCGGCGCACGGGUGAGUAACGCGUAUGCAACUUACCUAUCAGAGGGGGAUAACCCGGCGAAAGUCGGACUAAUACCGCAUGAAGCAGGGGCCCCGCAUGGGGAUAUUUGCUAAAGAUUCAUCGCUGAUAGAUAGGCAUGCGUUCCAUUAGGCAGUUGGCGGGGUAACGGCCCACCAAACCGACGAUGGAUAGGGGUUCUGAGAGGAAGGUCCCCCACAUUGGUACUGAGACACGGACCAAACUCCUACGGGAGGCAGCAGUGAGGAAUAUUGAUCAAUGGCCGAGAGGCUGAACCAGCCAAGUCGCGUGAGGGAUGAAGGUUCUAUGGAUCGUAAACCCCUUUUAUAAGGGAAUAAAGUGCGGGACGUGUCCCGUUUUGUAUGUACCUUAUGAAUAAGGAUCGGCUAACUCCGUGCCAGCAGCCGCGGUAAUACGGAGGAUCCGAGCGUUAUCCGGAUUUAUUGGGUUUAAAGGGUGCGUAGGCGGCCUUUUAAGUCAGCGGUGAAAGUCUGUGGCUCAACCAUAGAAUUGCCGUUGAAACUGGGGGGCUUGAGUAUGUUUGAGGCAGGCGGAAUGCGUGGUGUAGCGGUGAAAUGCAUAGAUAUCACGCAGAACCCCGAUUGCGAAGGCAGCCUGCCAAGCCAUUACUGACGCUGAUGCACGAAAGCGUGGGGAUCAAACAGGAUUAGAUACCCUGGUAGUCCACGCAGUAAACGAUGAUCACUAGCUGUUUGCGAUACAUUGUAAGCGGCACAGCGAAAGCGUUAAGUGAUCCACCUGGGGAGUACGCCGGCAACGGUGAAACUCAAAGGAAUUGACGGGGGCCCGCACAAGCGGAGGAACAUGUGGUUUAAUUCGAUGAUACGCGAGGAACCUUACCCGGGUUUGAACGCAUUCGGACCGAGGUGGAAACACCUUUUCUAGCAAUAGCCGUUUGCGAGGUGCUGCAUGGUUGUCGUCAGCUCGUGCCGUGAGGUGUCGGCUUAAGUGCCAUAACGAGCGCAACCCUUGCCACUAGUUACUAACAGGUAAAGCUGAGGACUCUGGUGGGACUGCCAGCGUAAGCUGCGAGGAAGGCGGGGAUGACGUCAAAUCAGCACGGCCCUUACAUCCGGGGCGACACACGUGUUACAAUGGCGUGGACAAAGGGAAGCCACCUGGCGACAGGGAGCGAAUCCCCAAACCACGUCUCAGUUCGGAUCGGAGUCUGCAACCCGACUCCGUGAAGCUGGAUUCGCUAGUAAUCGCGCAUCAGCCAUGGCGCGGUGAAUACGUUCCCGGGCCUUGCACACACCGCCCGUCAAG
This 1395-nucleotide ribosomal RNA is filed under the name uncultured bacterium. RNAcentral describes it as "bacterial SSU rRNA". It matches the Rfam family "Bacterial small subunit ribosomal RNA". The record is from RNAcentral.